CAGAAAAUAAUUUUAUGUUGAAAAUAUUAAAUUUGGAGUUUAAAAAUGGUGUGGAUGAAUAACUUUUUCUGA
This 72-nucleotide transfer RNA is filed under the name Gynaikothrips ficorum. Its description in RNAcentral is "tRNA-Pro". The record is from RNAcentral. Lineage: Eukaryota; Metazoa; Arthropoda; Insecta; Thysanoptera; Phlaeothripidae.